RNAcentral lists this ribosomal RNA (253 nucleotides) under uncultured bacterium. RNAcentral describes it as "partial 16S ribosomal RNA". It matches the Rfam family "Bacterial small subunit ribosomal RNA", at positions 524 to 776 of the family's 1533-position model. The record is from RNAcentral.
UACGGAGGGGGCUAGCGUUGUUCGGAAUCACUGGGCGUAAAGCGCGCGUAGGCGGCUUGGAAAGUUGGGUGUGAAAUCCCGGGGCUCAACCCCGGAACUGCACUCAAAACUUCCUGGCUAGAGACUUAGAGAGGUGGGCGGAAUUCCGAGUGUAGAGGUGAAAUUCGUAGAUAUUCGGAAGAACACCGGUUGCGAAGGCGGCUCACUGGCUAAGUUCUGACGCUGAGGUGCGAAAGCGUGGGGAGCAAACAGG